UACGGAAGGCAGCAGUGGGGAAUAUUGCACAAUGGGCGAAAGCCUGAUGCAGCUAUGCCGUGUGUAUGAAGAAGGCCUUAGGGUUGUAAAGUACUUUCAUCGGGGAGGAAAAAACAAAACUAAUAAUUUUAUUUCUUGACGUUACCCGAAAAAGAAGCACCGGCUAACUCCGUGCCAGCAGCCGCGGUAAUACGGAGGGUGCUAGCGUUAAUCAGAAUUACUGGGCGUAAAGAGCACGUAGGUGGUUUUUUUAAGUCAGAUGUGAAAUCCCUGGGCUUAACCUAGGAACUGCAUUUUGAAACUGAAAUACUAGAGUAUCGUAGAGGGAGGUAGAAUUCUAGGUGUAGCGGUGAAAUGCGUAGAUAUCUGGAGGAAUACCUGUGGCGAAAGCGGCCUCCUAAACGAAUACUGACACUGAGGUGCGAAAGCGUGGGGAGCAAACAGGGAUUAGAUACC
RNAcentral lists this ribosomal RNA (456 nucleotides) under uncultured bacterium. RNAcentral's name for it is "bacterial SSU rRNA". It matches the Rfam family "Bacterial small subunit ribosomal RNA", at positions 340 to 786 of the family's 1533-position model. The record is from RNAcentral.